Molecule: long non-coding RNA, 472 nt
Filed under: Pan troglodytes (chimpanzee)
Lineage: Eukaryota; Metazoa; Chordata; Mammalia; Primates; Hominidae
Description: long non-coding RNA NONPTRT000800
Source: RNAcentral
AAAACGCGAUAAGCAAGCUUCUGUUUAGGGGGAAUGAUGGCGUGUGCCUCUUCAGGGACCGCUUGGAGCAGUUAGAAAGGAAGCGGGAGCGGGAGCGCAAGAUGCGGGAGCAGCAGAAGGAGCAGCGGGAGCAGAAGGAGCGCGAGCGGCGGGCGGAGGAGCGGCGCAAGGAGCGGGAGGCCCGCAGGGAAGGUAGGCGGCGCGGUGGGCAGCUGUGCUCGGCGGGACGCGUGUCUGCUGCCCCGUGGUGCUGGGCACUUGCUUUCACAGGCGGGUGCUUGGUUCCGGUGCUUGCUUUUCGCCCCUGCCUUUUUUUUUUUUUGGAGGCAGAGUUUUGCUCUUGUCCCCCAGGCUGGAGUGCGGGGGCGCGAUCUCGCCUCGCUGCACCCUCUGCCCCCCGGGUUCAAGUGAUCCUCCUGCCUCAGCCUCCGGAGUAGCAGGGAUUACAGGCACCCGCCACCAUGUUCAGCUA